This is a long non-coding RNA of Phyllostomus discolor (pale spear-nosed bat), 817 nucleotides long. RefSeq lists it as uncharacterized. The record is from RefSeq and is a predicted model, not a curated record. The transcript has 3 exons. Lineage: Eukaryota; Metazoa; Chordata; Mammalia; Chiroptera; Phyllostomidae.
UUUGGGUUAGAAGUGUUUACAAGGUGUAAGUUUGUCUUUUGUAAACCUAAGUAAGAUGGUCAUUUGAAUUGGUAGCUCAAACUGGUACCUCAAAAAAUAGCCAACUUACAUGGAUGGCAUUUACAGGUCGGGAAGAAAACAGUGCAUUUCCUUUUUAGAGUCCACUGGAAACAGCCUAGUGCGUAGUGGUGUGGACUCCGGAGCCAGGCCACCUGGGCCCUGCACGUGUGUGGCUUUAGGAACUGGGCAUCAGGAAUCAUUGCCUUAAUCCACUUAAAUGAGUCAAUCCAUGUAAAUAAAUUUACACGUGGUAGGUGAGCUACGUCUUAGGUGUUGUUAUUUUUUUCUCUACGGUUAUGCACUGUGUUACUGAUGGGGACCAUUAUUUUCCUGUGUAGGUGUGGAACUUUUCCGCCAUGAAUGUCUCUUACAAUCACCAUCUCAGCUGCAGCUGCAGUUGGUAUGUGACGAUCUCCGGUGUUUUGUGGCUUCUGAUUCAAGAAACGAUCUUAAAGAUUGAACUACGUUGUAUGUUUCCUGAUUCUCAGGUGUUCUUUUCUCAUUGCUGGCUUCUCGUCAUCCAGUGAAGUGACCUUCUGCUCCCAGGCCUGCAGCCCACAAGGCUGCUCUCCUCGGCAGUGGCAAUGCCGUGUGAGCCGUGAGUCCCCCCUCCACCUUCCCGUCCAUCACACACCGUCUGCAGCUGCGCCUCUUCUCCCACGCCUCACUUACUGCUUUUCUUUGGACAGCCCCCUGGGACACAAAGGUUGAAUUGAUUGUAAACCUCCUGGAGUCAUCCCAGUUCCUAGAAUAACAG